This 253-nucleotide ribosomal RNA is filed under the name uncultured bacterium. Its description in RNAcentral is "partial 16S ribosomal RNA". It matches the Rfam family "Bacterial small subunit ribosomal RNA", at positions 524 to 776 of the family's 1533-position model. The record is from RNAcentral.
UACGUAGGGUGCAAGCGUUGUCCGGAAUUAUUGGGCGUAAAGAGCUCGUAGGCGGUCAGUCGCGUCUGCUGUGAAAACUCGGGGCUUAACCCCGGGCGUGCGGUGGAUACUGCCGGGCUAGAGGGUGGUAGAGGCGAGUGGAAUUCCUGGUGUAGCGGUGGAAUGCGCAGAUAUCAGGAGGAACACCAAUAGCGAAGGCAGCUCGCUGGGACGUUACUGACACUAAGGCGCGAAAGCGUGGGGAGCGAACAGG